RNAcentral lists this ribosomal RNA (461 nucleotides) under Hartigiola annulipes. RNAcentral's name for it is "partial large subunit ribosomal RNA". It matches the Rfam family "Eukaryotic large subunit ribosomal RNA", at positions 329 to 657 of the family's 3401-position model. Lineage: Eukaryota; Metazoa; Arthropoda; Insecta; Diptera; Cecidomyiidae. The record is from RNAcentral.
CGAAACCGAUAGCGAACAAGUACCGUGAGGGAAAGUUGAAAAGUACUCUGAAUAGAGAGUUAAAUAGUACGUGAAACCGCUUAGGGGUUAAGCCCGAUGAACCCGAAUAUCUGAUGUGAGAAAUUCAAUACAAUUCAAAUUCUGAUUUUUAUAUUGGAUUUGUAUAGUAUGCACUUUUCUCAUAGUAAGACAUUGUAAUCCAUUGAUAUUAUAUCUCAAUUUUGAGAUGAUUUAACAUACGGACAAAAUGUUUAUGAUUAUUCUAUCAGUGAUAUGUUUACAUGUCAUAUGAAUAAAAUUCGUUUUGUACCUGUUUAAAUAGUCGAUGGAUUUUUCAUUGAAAUCAUGCUUGCAAUUUAUUUUGCGUUUCGUAUCAUUAAUUUUUAAUUGGUGAUAGCAGAAAUGGCAUGUAUUCGAUUAACAAUGCGAUAGAUUUGGGAUACUUUCAGGACCCGUCUUGA